This is a non-coding RNA of Ictidomys tridecemlineatus (thirteen-lined ground squirrel), 10152 nucleotides long. The record is from RefSeq and is a predicted model, not a curated record. Lineage: Eukaryota; Metazoa; Chordata; Mammalia; Rodentia; Sciuridae.
CCUGUCAGAGUUAACCACGUUCACAGAAUGUAAUUAAGUGCCGGGAAGGUUCUGUGCUGUGUUCUCUGAUUUACUGCUUCGUUCCGGGGACGGCUCUUCCACGGGGCGAACGCUGUGGGGUCGGGGCGCCGGGGGAGCCGAGAUGGGGCGGCGGGCGCCUGUUCCGAUCCCGGGCUGGGCGCUCGGGUCUACGGCUUGGCACCGCCGCGCGCCGGGUGGCGAGCGCAACGCGCUCAGCGGAGGCCACACCUGCACCUCAUUUGCUUGCGAGCAGCGCCAUAACCCGCCUGCUGAUGGGGCGCCUUCUCUUUCAUUCUCCGGAUUAUGACAAGUUAUUAAUUGCCGCCAUUAGCCGCAGCAGCCUGCGCGAGAUCUCUGCUGCUCUCUGGAGAAAAUUCUCUGCACAUUUGGAAGUUAUCUGGGGCUGUGUGAUUUGAUUUAAAAAAAAAAAAAAAAGAAUUGUGAACAAAAGUGACAGGUGUCACUUGCCGGUAGGAACCUUUAAGAACCAGUGAAUGAUCUGCCAAGUUUUCAUCUCCUACAUGGCAACCAUCAACACUCCAGGUGAGGAGACUUCAUUAACCCUCAUCUCUGAGAGAAGCAAUCAGAAGUAGAUAAAGAACUGGCAGCCCAAGAGACAGAUCUUUAGUGUUUUAAGCUACUGAGGUUUGGGAUCUAUUUGUUAUUGAGACACAAUAUAGCCUCACAUGACCAAUACAAAUAAAGAGUGAAAGGUGAGUCAUAUUCUUGCCCUGAUAGACAUUUUGGUAGAUGUUGGUUUUGCCACUUACAGCCCUAAGAGCGACCUACUAACAGGGAUCAAGAGACUGGAUUUCCUGUUCUGCCUGGGUGUUGUGUUUAUCUACCAUCAGCUUAUAAAAUACAUUAAUGGAUUUUCUUACAAGCAAUAAGUAUAGGAUUUUGCUUCUUUGUCUACCUUUUUGGUGUUUUAUCCUUCAUUCUUUGUGUAAAAUCUGUUAGCAAGGAGACUCCCAUUUGAAGAUGGGUUCUUUAGAGACUUGGGUUCCAAGGGUAUGGCUUUCUAAUUUUUUUAAAAUAUAUAUAUUUUUAGUUGUAGACAGACACAAUACCUUUAUUUUAUUUAUUUGUUUUUAUGUGGUGCUGAGGAUCGAACCCAGUGCCUCACAUGGGCAAGGCAAAUGCUCUAACAACUGAGCUAGAACCCCAGCCCUGGCUUUCUAAUAUUCCAGAAGAGUUUGCCCUUUCACGUCCUAUACUGACCCCAAGAGUAGAGGGAAUGUAUUGUUCUAAAUCCUGGCUUUACUACCUGCUAGUCACGUGGCCUUGGGUAAGUUGCUUAAUCUUUUCAAGCCUCAAUUCCUCACCUGUAAAAUGCAAAUAAAAUAAUACCUAUUUCAUGGGGGACGUUUUGGGAAUUAAAUGAGAAAAUGUACAUAGACCUUAAUAGAUAGUAAUUAUGAUUAUUGGUAGUGUUGUCACUAUUUUUUUUUUUUUUGGUACCAGGGAUUGAGCCCAGGGGCACUUAACCACUGAGCCACAUCUCAAGCCCUUUUUAUUUUGUAUUUUGAAACAGUGUCUCACUGAGUUGCUUAGGAUCUUGCUGAGGCAGGCUUUGAACUUUCGAUCCUCCUGCCUCAGCCUCCCAGCUGCUGGGAUUACAGGCAUGCAUCACCACAUCCGGCUGAGCUAACUAUUAUUGUUCCAUCAGGAUAGACUCAAAACCAGUGUCAAAAGAUCUUAUCACAAAAUCCAUGAACAUUCUUGGACAGUUUGCACAUGGAUCUGCUGGGAAAGGAGUUUGGAGAAAAUAACCUUCCAGCUUGUGCCCAAAGAUCAUUAUCCUCCGGCAGCACAGAGCUCCCCGAGGGAAACAAAGCAUCUCGGAAAGGUUCCAGUCCAGUGGGAGUCCUGCCAAGGGGGGACCUGGGUCAAAGCUAGUGUGUCUCAGGUCCUGGGAACUAGCCUUCUUGUAUGGCUUCUCUUUGAGAUAUUUAGCAACUCACUCUUUAGAAAAAGAUUAUCUCCUUUUUGAAAGUAACCUGACCACCUGUCAAAACUGGACUUGUGAGAGGAAUUGAGAAGCUAACCCCGGGCACUCUGGCCCGGCGCGCAUUUGGGUAAUUACGCUGGCACUAUCUUCUCUACUCCACAUCAACUUGGCUUCUAGUCCCAGCCCUCUUCUGAGACUCUGAUGAUGUGACUGAAGAGCUUCUGGGAUCUGCCCAGGUCAGCCAAGGAAGGAAGAAGUGUGAUUGACACAGAAGUUCUGCCAUGACCGCUUGUGGUCAUGGAAAUGAUUUGUCUAUUUGAGGAAAAGUGGCAACUAAGAAGAGAAGAAAAACAGAAAGAGUAUUAAACAUUCUACCCUACUUCCCUGCCAUCACAGAACAUACUCGAACACAGGGCUUUAAAAACCAUUCUUUGAUAAACUUCUAAAGGAGUUUACCAAGUGUCAGGCCUUGGGCCAUGGGCCAGUGACACAACGAUUCAUAAGGACAUGCCUUUCCCUACAGGGAGCUCCCAGUCUUUUGAUCAUUCAGCCACCCACAACCUACUUAUGGAUACAAACCAUGUGCCAGGUCCCGUAGUACUUGGUAUGGAACGAUGGACAAAAUAGAAGGCUAAAUGCACUCAUGGUGGCCGAUCUAUAAAGGGUGAACACAAACGUGCAUACAAUAAUGAACUGUUUUUUUUAUGUCUGCAAAGGAAACAUUGGGAGCAUAACAGAGGAUAUAUGACAGAAACAAAUACAUACUGGCAGAGCAUAGGAAAGAUGUCAGAGCAGAAACAUCAGUGUACUCACAUUCUGCCUGCAGAUUUGGACUGGUGCAGGAAGGAGCAGACCUCAUAUGAAAACCCAGAUGAUCAGGAAUGAAAUAAAUUAAUAAAGAUACACCACAGGUGUAUUUUUGCCACAUACAAACCACUAGGGAUCUAAAAUCCCAACUUAGAAAUUCAAGUCAGGAGCAGUGGUGUCCACCUGUGAUCUCCAGCUACUCAGAAGGCUGAGGCAGGAGGAUCACUAGUUUGAAGCUAAUCUGGGUGACUUAGCCUUAGUGAGACCCUGUCUCAAAAUAAAACAUGAAUAAAAAGGGCUGGGGAUGUAGUUCAGGGGUAGAGUGUCUCUGGGUUCAAUUCCCAGUACCCAAAAUCAGUCAGUCAAUCAAUCCUGAAUUAGUAAAUAUUUCAUUUUAUGGUGUUUCUGUAACUGUCUACAUAGACCAAUCAUUUUAUAAAGCAUUUGUUCUACAAAUAUUGAAAUAUUGUAUUGCAUUUUCAUGAAUCCAGCAUUAGCACAUCUAGCCUCCUCCUGCAGGCUCUCUCUAGCUGCUCCACACCACCCACCUAAGACUCAUGGGUCUUCUGUGAUUUUUUUUUUUUAUUCCACAAUUCCCUAUACAUGUCUCAUUUUUUCUCUUUUAUAAUUAUUGAUUUGCUUUGCUUUGCUCCUCAUGAUUGUCAACAUCCUGAAGACAAAGACUAUCUUAAUUGUCUCUGUAGGACUAGGGCUUAGCAGUUUUAGCUUGGGUUUCCUCAGAAACAGGCCCUAAGACAAGCAUUCAAUGUAAGUAAGUUUAUCUGGGAGCAGUCUCCAGAGAGCACUAGGAGAGGGGCAGCAAGGAGAAAUGGGAGGGAAAGAAGCUUAUGAGGAGUAUGCUGUCAAGCAAGUCACCAAGUCCCCUCUGGAGAACUCUGGGAGACCAGGUGGAACAUGCCCAGCACUGUCCCACUGAGGGUGAAGAAGCUGAUAUUUAUUUACCCACCAGCUUCCCGGCUGGUGCUCCCAGGGGCAUGAACCUACCAGCAUUUCUGGUUUACUCUCCUCACAAGUCAAGCCCCAGAAAAGCCCUCACUCAGAAGUGCUCCAGUGAGCAACCUUCAGAAUGUGGAGGUGAGUGCCAAGAGGAUGGGGGGAGAGUCCAAUGAGCAUCCCAAGGGCAGCUCGGGAGGCUUUGGUGGCUCAAUAUAACAAAAAAGCCAAGCAGCCCACAUUGUGAAGGAACAGGUUUAGUAGGGCUCUGUGGGCAGGCCUCACACUACUGCCAAAGCAUGGAGCCUGCAAUGGAGAGUUAGGUGUGGGGGCAACCCCAGCCCACUUGUGGGGAUGUUUGUUUCUACAGCAGUCAUGGACAGGAUCUCUGUGAGGAGCACAGUGUGAUUUUAACCACCCCUCUGUCCUUUGACCAGCUCACAUGGAACCAAAUCUUCAGCUAGUGGCGUGAUUCCAUCUGUGUUUUCUUUCCUGCAGGUGCUGAGGGGCUCAAGUACACACCAGCUAAUAAUUGUCACUUUCUGCAAGGAUAUGAAUCAUAGCAGCUGCUGCUUAUGAAUGAUAUCUUGUAGCAAUGCAUCCAACUCCUUUAACUUACACAUGAUCCCCAAAGUCCUCUUCCUUUGUCCUUCCAAAAAGAGGACAACUAACCUCCUUGAACUUCCCCCAUAUUCUGGUUGCCCUUUCUGUGUAAAAGUGAAAGUGAUGAUAUUGGUCUGGGACUUUCCCUGAAUCAGAGCUUUGUGGUGAAACAUAUAUGAACAACCUCAGUCAGGGCCUAAACCAAUAAAAUUUUAUUUAUUAUACCCUAUAUCUUCAAGAAUUAAGACUCCAGGAAGUAACACAGUAACUGCAGUGUAUCCAAUGUGCUCAUUCCUGUAACUCCAGUGUGGUGGGUGGAUAAGAAGACAGACUCCACCAGGUGCCUAGGUUCUGCACCUCCAUUUCCUCAUCUGGAAAGUAGAUAUGGUCGCAGUUCCCACCUCCGAGGGUUGAGAGGAGGACCAGAUGAGCUUCUCUGUGUAGAGCAACAACGCCCAGCUCUGCAUCUAAGGCUGAGAACAAGAAGGAAGAUACAAAGGAAGGGGAAAAAAGAGAAGAGGAGAGAAGAAAGAGAGAAAGAUGAAGAGUUUGUGGAUCCUCAUCUACAGUGUGUGCCAGAGCUCUGCCGAUACUGCUCAUCCGUGAGUAGAAUGUUCUGAGUACCUGCAUUGGCAGCAUUAGGCGGAUUCAUGUUAGACAGCCUUCUGUCACUAUGAUGAAAUACCUGAAAUAAAUAAUCAACAUAAAGGAAAAAGGUUUAUUUUGACUCACAAUUCUAGUUCUAUUUCUAGCUCUGUUGCUUUGGGUGAGGCAGCGCAUCCGUGGGGGACCAUGUGACAGAGCAAAAACCACUUGUCCUAUGGCCAAAAAGGAAAAGAGAGGAAGAAAAAGGGGCUGGGAUUUCACAAUUUGUUUGAAGGACAUGUCCCAGUGAUCUGUAGACUUCCUGCUUGAUUCCACCUCUUGAAGUUCCCACCACCUUCCAAUAGCACCUCCAUGGGGACCAAGCCUUGGACACAAGAGUCUUUGGGAGACAUUCAAGAUUCCAACCAUAACAUUCUCUUUUUAUGUAAAAUAACACCAAAGUGGUUGGGAGCAUGAAAUAAGAUAAUGUAUAUGAAGCCCUUAUAUAAGCAAAGGAAGCUCAAUAGUUUCUUAAGACUAUUUCAUUUUUCUCUAUAAAAUGCGGAGUGGGGCUAUUACCUCCAUUUUGUGGAUGAAGACACUGGUGGCUGGAGCCAUGAAGUGGACUGUGAGCUCUGUGAAGCAGAGGACCAUGCCCACCUUGCUCAUUGCUACACAGGCACAUGCACAGUGAGGCCCAGGGGAGCUCCACUAAGUAUCUGUGGUUGAGGAGAACAUUAGAUUCCACCUGUCUGCAUCCAAGACAAGUGUCCUUUCCAAUGCCUCAUUGCCAUCUCCAAAUAACUGUUUCUGUGGGUAGGUGAAGAGGUGAAAGGCACAGAGCAGAGAACCAAACAGCCAUGGUUCAAGUUCCAAGCUACAUACCUGCUUUGUGAACCAACUAUAGACAUCUGCCACUUAAUGAUGGGGACAUAUUCUGAGAACUGUGUCAUUAGAUGAAUCUGUUGCGCAAAUAUAAUGAAGUGUAGUCACACAGACCUAGAGAGUACAGAUCAAUCGCUUGGCAUGGCCCCUGGAUGCAAUUAAGAUGAGGCAGAUGAGGCUGCUGCCAGCAUAACCUGGCAUGCUGCUCUAUAAGAAGCUUUCUUUUAUGAUGGAGUAGGGCUAUUACCCUCAGGAGUAAGGGGCUGUGGUUUUGACUCAACAGUAGAGUGCUCGCCUAGCACGCGUGGGACCCUGGGUUCGAUCCUCAGCACCACAUAAAAAUAAAUAAAUAAAAUAAGGGUAUUAUGUCCAACUACAACUAAAAAAUAAAUAUUUUUAAAAAUUUAAAAAAAAUAAGUAGGAGUAAGUACAUUGCAAAAUAAUAAUAAAAAGUAUGGAGCAGUAGAUACACAGCCCAGUGACAGAGUCACUUAUUAGCAAGUAUGAUAUGCUAUACCUGGUUGCAGGUGCUGUACUCCCAGCCAAUGGAAAGUAGAUUUGUUUACGUCAGCACCACAAACACCAUAAUGUACUGUGCUGUCAUUAGUAGUUGAUAAGAAUUUUUCAGCUCCAUUAUAAUCUUAUGACACCACCAUCAUAUAUGCAUGCCAUCCUGUGUUGAUCAGAACAUUGGUAUUUGAUGUAUGACCAUAUCUAUUACUUGUUGUAUAAUGACAAUGGUCCCCUUCCCAGUGUAAUCCCUUAGGUUUUUUUUUUUUUUUUUUUUUGGUACUGGGGAUUGAAUUCAGGGGCAUUCAACCACUGAGCCACAUCCCCAGCCCUAUUUUGUAUUUUAUUUAGAGACAGGGUCUCACUGAGUUUCUUAGCUCCUUGCUAUUGCUAAAACUGGCUUUAAAUUUGCGAUCCUCCUGUCUCAGCAUCCUGAGCUGCUGGGAUUAUAGGUAAUGCAUCACCCUUAGUCUUUUGAUAUUCCAAAGUAUUUCAAAGGAACUGAGGGAAAAAAAUGAUUUGGAGACUGGAGCUUUCAAGAAGAAUCCCAUCUUUGGAGGUCAGUAUACUGGAACAGAAAAGAAAGGCUUUGGAUAGAGUGAGAAUGGUGUGGCUGGGCUUUUUUUUUUUUUUAAUUGAACUGGAACAGAAAGAACAAAAGUAAAAAAAGAAACUUGGAGAGGGAGCUAGUAGUUAUGAGCAACUGUCACACAUUCACCAUGCCUGGUGUUUUAUAUGCGGUGUCUCAUUGAAUCCUCAUGAAGGUUCUAUAAGGAAGAUGACCAUUUUACAGAUAAGGAAACUGAGGGUCAAAAAGGUUAAGCACCUUCAACCCAUCCUGUGAAAUGGCAAAACAAGGCUCAUUUCCAGGUUGCUUUGGCUCUGAAGCUCAUCUUCUUUGCACAAGGACAGCUGCCUCUCUUUAUGAUAAAAGAAAACAAACAAACAAACAAAUAGAUUUGUCAGGCUUUAAAGUUUGCCAAAAAGUUUCAUCUUCUCUUGGGUGUCCACUGGGGGAGUGAUUUAUCUUUGGAAAUAACACCCAUGUCGACAUUCCACUUUCUCUUCACUUGACCUCUUUUUAUUUCUUCACACCUAUCAGUGUAACGGUGAAGUCUGCAGUUCCCUGAGCCCUGAAAUUUUAUUCCGUGGUCAGGCUACAAACUUGUGACUCCCUUAAAAAUCAUGAUUUGUGCUCAACCUGAGUUCUUGUAGCAGAGACAUAAAUAAGCAUAUUCUUCCUAUUUUAAAAUACAAUAUUGAUUCUGUUCCUUAUAACACGAGAGAGGAGUAAGUGAGAAGUCAGAGUGGCGGCUUAAAAAUUGAACCCUGUAAAGUUUACAGGCAAUCUACAGUGAGGCUAAAUCUAACAGCCAUGAAACAAAAAAAUAGCACAAUCACUUUACAGGGGUUUUCCGGGCGACUCUGGAAUUCAAGUGUUCAAGUUCAGCCCGUGUAAUAAAAACACGUUUACGAUGGUUUGCCAAGAGGAACAGGAGAUGGAGAAAAGAACACCUGUAUCAGUGAGCAUCCUAAAACCAAAAGCCUCCUGAGGAGUGUGCCAAGUCUGCUCUAAAGAGAAAGGAUAUCAAACCGCAUAGGGAACAAAGCCCCUUGUUAACCCAGGCAUCCUGCAAUCAUCAUCCAUGAUCACAGCAAACUUUAAUGGAGUACCUGCAACAAAGACAAGGAGCUUGUCAGCCCAGAGGGGCCGAGCUGACUGCCCAAGGCUCCCUGAGUCUUAUCCUCUGAGGGGGUGAGACAAAUAUGUGAACCAUAAUUAUUGCACAAAGACUCUAUUUGAGAUAUCUAACAGCAAUACCAGUGAAUAUUCUUUGGGUGCUUAGGGCAAGGCCAUACUCAGUUCUAGCACAUUCUUACUCUUCACAAUGGCUCUACAAAUAGGUGCUGUUAUCACCUAGAUGAGUAUAGACACAGUGAAGGACUUGCUCAAGGUGAGACAAUGACCUAUGUGGGAAGGGCUAUGAGGGUACACUGGAAGAACUGACUAGCUCUGCCUGAGGGCAGACCUGAUGCACAUAACCUGGAUCCUAAGAAAGGAAGAGGAGUUUUCUGGAUGAGAAAUGGCAUAGGGAAGCACAUUCUAGACAGCAUGUGCCGGAGAAGGAAGGCGCUGGGGAGCCUGGCAUACCUGGGGAACCAAGAGGAGCUCAAUGCAGGAGAAGCACAGGACUCACAAUGUGUGGUGGUCCGAGGGGAGAUGGCACGGACUGUGAGGGGCUUCGUGAGUCACCAUACGGAGUUUGGCCAAUAAGGGGCCAAGCAUGGAUUUUAAAUAAAGGACUGAGGGUAAUCUUGCAGUCAAAUUUGGUGAGCGUACACUACCCAGAAGAAAAUGUAAAGUAGGGAAAUGGGUUUGGAGGCUAAUCCAGUAACCCAGAUGAGAAGUGGUGGCUGAAACUGGGCUAGUGACCAGGGAAUAUGAAAGAUUUACAAACAAUACAUUUACAUAUCUGCGGUUAUAUUUCUGCUUAUAUUUCUUUCUACUAGGUAGGAAGCAUUCAUACACCAAAACUGAGUUGGUAAAGACUGAAAAAUACUUGUAACUUGAGUAUUUACUGAGUAAAUUUGGGCUCAUCUAUUCAUUUUCACCAAACACUACAUAUUUUUAAAAACACUUUUUAGAUGUUGAUGGACCUUUAUUUUAUUCAUUUAUUUAUAUAUGGUGCUCAGAAUCAGACCCAGUGCUUCACAACAUGCUAGGAAAGCACUCUGCCACUGAGCCACAACCUCAGCCCCAACAGAGUACAUAUUUUUAAAAGGCUUUAUAUUGUUCCUGGUACAUAUUAUAUACUCAAAAUUACACACACACACACACACUAGCCAGGUGACCUGAUAAUCUAGGAGCUACUCUGAACCUCAAAGCUACAACCCAAUGGUUUAAUUGAGCACGAUUUUUCCAAUUUGUAAGGUAACAAUUUAAUUGUCAAGUGAGAGAUAACUGUGUUCAGGUUUAAGGAAGAUGAGAAUAAGUCUUUCUCUGGCAUAAACAUCACACCUCAAUGUCAUCAAGUUGAAUAAAUUGUCUCUGCCACCCUCUUUUGUCCAUAGGGAUGUUGGAUAACAGAGAACCCAAGCUACCUGCCCAUACCCCCACAGCAAGAUGAUGUAGAAGAAGGAAAAUUUUUAUAUACCAUCAUAUUAGCCUUUUUUAAUAUUGCUUCUCCUUUCACUUUAAGAGAAAGUUGGGAAAUUGUGGAUAGAGAGGGAAAGCAAAUUCUGCAUAAAAGAAAACAUUUUUUAAAAAAUACAAAUGUGGCCUAAUUUAAUUUCCCAUACAUGUUUCCACCGGCUUUGGAAAAAAAAGGUUAAAAUGCAAUUCUCCAAAACGAAGUUAUUGGAUAGAAGAAUAUUAACCUCUUCACCCCUUGUACUUUGACUCGUUUUAUCUCCUUUUCAUUUUUGUUUGUGGGUCUAUUCAUUUUGGUGAGGCCAGGCACGUUGCUAGGUAACGGGCCCAUGGUGGGCCAGAGCGUGAGGCUGGCUGGCUGGCCCCGGUGGCAGACUUCCCUAGCGCUAGCUGCCGGCAAUGCAGUCUCUCACAAAAAGCAUUUAUCACCGAGCAGGCACAGUAAUGGCCACUCAGUGGAGGGGAAAUUGAGCUGACCCGAAGGCCAAAGCUGUUAGGGAGACUGCUGGGAAGGGUAAGAGGGUCACACACCCUUUUCCCACCCACUUAGUGGGCAGUAAGCGGUGGAACAGCCCAGCCACUGUUUCCACUAACAUAUCCCGAGGCUUUGCACCUGAAAUAAAUGUUUGCUUGACAUUAACGAUAAAAAAAAAAAAAGGAGGCAAAAAAUAAAAUCGGUUUGCUC